GAGACCAGCAAAUACUAUGUGACUAUCAUUGAUGCCCCAGGACACAGAGACUUCAUCAAAAACAUGAUUACAGGCACAUCUCAGGCUGAUUGUGCUGUUCUGAUUGUUGCUGCUGGUGUUGGUGAAUUUGAAGCUGGUAAGAUCUGAAGAG
Arvicanthis niloticus (Nile rat) is the source of this 151-nucleotide non-coding RNA. The record is from RefSeq and is a predicted model, not a curated record. Lineage: Eukaryota; Metazoa; Chordata; Mammalia; Rodentia; Muridae.